GUAGGUGGCAAGCGUUGUCCGGAAUUAUUGGGCGUAAAGCGCGCGCAGGGCGGUCCUUUAAGUCUGGGUGUGAAAGCCCACGGGCUCAACCGUGGAGGGUCAUUGGAAACUGGGGGACUUGAGUACAGAAGAGGAAAGCGGAAUUCCAAGUGUAGCGGUGAAAUGCGUAGAGAUUUGGAGGAACACCAGUGGCGAAGGCGGCUUUCUGGUCUGUAACUGACGCUGAGGCGCGAAAGCGCGGGGAGCAAACAGGAUUAGAUACCCUGGUAGUCCACGCCGUAAACGAUGAGUGCUAAGUGUUAGGGGGUUUCCGCCCCUUAGUGCUGCAGCUAACGCAUCAAGCACUCCGCCUGGGGAGUACGGCCGCAAGGCUG
This 374-nucleotide ribosomal RNA is filed under the name uncultured organism. RNAcentral describes it as "partial 16S ribosomal RNA". It matches the Rfam family "Bacterial small subunit ribosomal RNA", at positions 527 to 896 of the family's 1533-position model. The record is from RNAcentral.